GGUUAAACCAUUUGAAAUUCUUAUUGUUGGAGAUAUUAAAAUCUAUCAGCAGUCUCGACACACUUACAACCCAGAAUUCAAACUGCAGACUUCUAUCAUGCCUCCUUUACUAUAUAAGUUUGUGCACCAAGAAAUUUGUUCCAAACGACAGACUUAGUUUAUUGUUAUAUGUGGGACUGGGGAUUGCAGAUCCUAGUCCUACAGGCUUUUAAUCCUAGAAGCGAAAAGAGCUGCAUGCUUUGGAAUUGGAGCACAAAUUGGCUUCCAAAUGAGGGAUAUUCUUGAGGGUUCCUGGCUAGCUAGGGGCAUACA
This 312-nucleotide unclassified non-coding RNA is filed under the name Hevea brasiliensis (rubber tree). The record is from RNAcentral. Lineage: Eukaryota; Viridiplantae; Streptophyta; Magnoliopsida; Malpighiales; Euphorbiaceae.